AUUGAACGCUGGCGGCAGGCUUAACACAUGCAAGUCGAGCGGGGUGAUGGUGCUUGCACUAUCACUUAGCGGCGGACGGGUGAGUAAUGCUUAGGAAUCUGCCUAUUAGUGGGGGACAACAUCUCGAAAGGGAUGCUAAUACCGCAUACGUCCUACGGGAGAAAGCAGGGGAUCGCUUGUGACCUUGCGCUAAUAGAUUAGCCGAAGUCGGAGUAGCUAGUUGGUGGGGUAAAGGCCUACCAAGGCGACGAUCUGUAGCGGGUCUGAGAGGGCGACCGGCCACACGGGGACUGAGACACGGCCCAGACUCCUACGGGAGGAAGCAGUGGGGAAUAUUGCACAAUGGGCGAAAGCCUGACGCAGCGACGCCGCGUGCGGGAAGAAGGCCUUCGGGUUGUAAACCGCUUUCAGGAGGGACGAAGCCACUCGGGUUAAUAGCCCAGAGGGUGACGGUACCUCCAGAAGAAGCCCCGGCUAACUACGUGCCAGCCGCCGCCGUAA
Molecule: ribosomal RNA, 501 nt
Filed under: uncultured bacterium
Lineage: Bacteria
Description: partial 16S ribosomal RNA
Rfam family: Bacterial small subunit ribosomal RNA
Source: RNAcentral